Molecule: transfer RNA, 69 nt
Filed under: Podarcis lilfordi (Lilford's wall lizard)
Lineage: Eukaryota; Metazoa; Chordata; Lepidosauria; Squamata; Lacertidae
Description: tRNA.Ala
Source: RNAcentral
GCUGUAACUCAGUGGCAGAGCACCUGCCUUGCAUGCAGAAGGAGCCAGGUUCAGUCCCCAGCAUCUCCA